GAUGAAGAACGUAGCGAAAUGCGAUAAGUAAUGUGAAUUGCAGAAUUCAGUGAAUCAUCGAAUCUUUGAACGCACAUUGCGCCCGCCAGUAUUCUGGCGGGCAUGCCUGUCCGAGCGUCAUUUCAACCAUCAAGCCCCCGGGCUUGUGUUGGGGACCUGCGGCUGCCCGCAGGCCCUGAAAACCAGUGGCGGGCUCGCUGUCACACCGAGCGUAGUAGCAAUCACCUCGCUCAGGGCGUGCUGCGGGUUCCGGCCGUUAAACAGCCUUACAAAACCCAAGGUUGACCUCGGAUCAGGUAGGAAGACCCGCUGAACUUAAGCAUAUCAAUAAGAGGAGGA
RNAcentral lists this unclassified non-coding RNA (339 nucleotides) under soil metagenome. Its description in RNAcentral is "partial contains 5.8S ribosomal RNA, internal transcribed spacer 2, and large subunit ribosomal RNA". The stretch from base 1 to 120 matches the Rfam family "5.8S ribosomal RNA", at positions 35 to 154 of the family's 154-position model. The record is from RNAcentral.